CCUGCCUCUGCCUCCCAAAAUGCAGGGAUUAUAGGCAUGAGCCACCGUGCCAGGCCUCCCUCCCACAUUUCUAAAUGAGAGAAAUUCCCCUCUCCAAGAUAUAACUCAAAAGUUAUUUCCUGCAAGUCUUCACUAACGCUAGGAACCCAGAAUUAAUUCUCUUUGGCGCUUUGCUUACACUGCUGCUGCUGCUAUUAUCUUACCUUGUUCUGUCAGAUUAUUUGUGUGUGUCUCUCCAACUAGAUCAAGUGCUCUUGGAGGGCAGAAGCCAAAUGGAAAUCUUUGUUUUAUGUCCUUAGGGACUUAGCAGUUUCUGGCACUCAGUAGACACUCUAUAAAUAUUUUAGAAUCCUUGAAGUGUAAAUUAAUUCAAAUUGUUUUCUUCUUAAAAGGUAGCAAGAAUCAGGUGCUCUGAAGGAUGCACAAAGUGCAGGAAAGGUGGUAGGAAAACGGGUGUUGAGGGAGAAAACUAAUUUCAGAGCAUGGAUGGAUGCUUCUGUGAUGGACUGGGGAAGCAGGAACGCCCUGAGGGGCUGAGAGGAGGAGCAGAGGUGUGAACCUGUGAGAGAAAGGAGGGUGGAAUAAGCUGAUUAGUAAACAAGACCAGGGUGUACCACAUAGCAGCACCUUCCAGAUCUUGAAAAAGAAUAGGCGGCAUCAAUGGCUGCAAAUAGUAAGGCCAGAUCAAAUAAUUUGAUAUCAAGUGGAGGAAAUUGGACUUGAUGAGAGAAACAAUGAAGGAUUAUUUACCAAUAUCUCAUUUGAUGAGGGAGACACAUGGUAAGAAAGUUUUUGAAGAAACAGCAAUAUGCAAAGGCAAAAAUCAACAGCCAAUUUGGAUAUCAUCAAGACACCUGAAACCUUAUUAUGAGCCAGAUGCUGAGGAAGAGACUCCGUGAGGAUCCCGAGGACUCCCCAGUUGCAGCCAUGUCGAGGCUGACACUGAGGAGGACCCCAACUGUCACGAGCAACACCCGUC
This 979-nucleotide long non-coding RNA is filed under the name Homo sapiens (human). RNAcentral describes it as "HSALNT0110063". The record is from RNAcentral. Lineage: Eukaryota; Metazoa; Chordata; Mammalia; Primates; Hominidae.